UGUAACAAAAGAAGUAUCAAUUUAAAGGAGGGUAAUUCGCAACCUCUAAAAUGCUAGUACACUUCCAAGCAGAGGGAUAAUCCGUACUCUAAUGAAGAAGAAACUAACUCUGAUAUCUGAGGUGAGUGAAGUCUCGACAAAUUGUCACGGACACAGAAAUACAAACUCGAGAUCUAAUAAGAAGUUCAAGAAGAACUGGCAAGAACUAGAUUAAUCAGAUGAAUAUAAGAACAAGACCUGAGAGGCGAGCUAGAGCUCUAAGAAAUGUGUUGUCGAGACUGAAGAACUCUUCAGCUUCGAUUCCAAUAUAUACUCCUAUUUAGGAAGCUUCUGAAGCAACUUCUACCAACUAAGAAGCUUCUAGAAGGUUCCAGAGACUUGCUUCUAGAAGGUUCUAG
Molecule: long non-coding RNA, 398 nt
Filed under: Physcomitrium patens
Lineage: Eukaryota; Viridiplantae; Streptophyta; Bryopsida; Funariales; Funariaceae
Description: long non-coding RNA (PPAT_LNC007644)
Source: RNAcentral